This 343-nucleotide ribosomal RNA is filed under the name Staphylococcus aureus. RNAcentral describes it as "partial 23S ribosomal RNA". It matches the Rfam family "Bacterial large subunit ribosomal RNA", at positions 2582 to 2925 of the family's 2925-position model. The record is from RNAcentral. Lineage: Bacteria; Bacillati; Bacillota; Bacilli; Caryophanales; Staphylococcaceae.
CGCCCAUUAAAGCGGUACGCGAGCUGGGUUCAGAACGUCGUGAGACAGUUCGGUCCCUAUCCGUCGUGGGCGUAGGAAAUUUGAGAGGAGCUGUCCUUAGUACGAGAGGACCGGGAUGGACAUACCUCUGGUGUACCAGUUGUCGUGCCAACGGCAUAGCUGGGUAGCUAUGUGUGGACGGGAUAAGUGCUGAAAGCAUCUAAGCAUGAAGCCCCCCUCAAGAUGAGAUUUCCCAACUUCGGUUAUAAGAUCCCUCAAAGAUGAUGAGGUUAAUAGGUUCGAGGUGGAAGCAUGGUGACAUGUGGAGCUGACGAAUACUAAUCGAUCGAAGACUUAAUCAAAA